UACGUACAUCCGAGGCGACUGCGCAUGCUCUGCGGUCCAGUCGCUCGGCCACUCCCUGCACCCCUGUAGAGAGAGAGAGAGAGAUCCCUGGCGCCCUCGGGACGUCCCCGGGUUCGAGCUGUGCAGCUAGGCUGCCGAGGGGUAAGAGAAUGGCCCACUCCGGGGUCUCGAGCUCGAACCCAGCUCCGCGCCGCCUCCUCUCCCCCCUCAGUCACUAGUUGCAGGAAUAAUGAACUGGAGGGAUUCCAUGUGAACUGGAAUGACCUCCGGGAAGUGAUGCAGAGCGAAAGGAGCAGAACCAGGAGAACAUUGUACACAGAGACGGAUACACUGUGGCACAAUCGAAUGUAAUGGACUUCUCUACUAACAGCAAUGCAAUGAUCCAGGACAAUUUGGAGGGACUUAUGAGAAAAUGGAGUUCCAUGGAGACUGGAACAACCUCCAGGAAGUGAUGCAGAGCGAGAGGAGCAGAACCAGGAGAACAUUGUACACAGAGACUAAUACACUAUGGUAUAAUCGAAUGUAAUGGACUUCUCCAUUGGUGGUGGUGUAAUGUCCCUGAACAAUUUGCAGGGAUCUAGGAGAAAAAAACACUAUUCAUAAGCAAAGGAUAAACUAUGUGAGUAGAAACACUGAGGAAAAGCAACUGCCUGAAUACAGCGGUUGAGGGGACAUGACAGAGGAGAGACUCUAAAUGAACACUCUAAUGCAAAUAUUAUCAACAUAGCAAUGGGUUCAAAUCAAGAAAACAUGUAAUGCCCAGUGGAUUUACGCGUCAGCUAUGGGGGGGGGGGGGAGGAAAAGAAAAUGAUCUAUGUCCUUAAUGAAUAAUGCUUGGAAAUGAUCAAAUAAAAUAUAUAUAUAUAUAUAAAAGAAUGUUAUCCACAUCCAGAGGAAGAACUGUGGGAGCAGAAAUGCUUUAGAAAAACUUGGCUGUUCUGAUCAAUCCGAUGAUCCAAGACAACUCCAAAGGACUCGGGAUGAUCCACCUCCAGAGAAAGAGCUGAUGAACACUGCCCACAAGUUGAAGUAUCAUUUUCUCACUUUCUUGAUUUUUCUUGCUUCUUUUCUUAUGGGUAAUAUGGAAAUUAUGAUUUCACCUGAUCUUAAUGAGUGGGAGGAGGGAGAGAAUUUGGACAUCAAAACUCAAAAAGAAGGAAAGAAUGCUAAAAAUAAACCAUUAAGUUAUAAGUAAAUAACUUACAAAUUAAAAAAUUAAGACUCCAGA
Molecule: long non-coding RNA, 1228 nt
Organism: Monodelphis domestica (gray short-tailed opossum)
Lineage: Eukaryota; Metazoa; Chordata; Mammalia; Didelphimorphia; Didelphidae
Source: RefSeq, a predicted model, not a curated record